UGUUGCUUUCCCUUUCGUCAUUACAGUUACAAUUUUGAUUCUACAUGGGGGAUUUGGUCAUGCACCUGAAACAUGACGCCAUUUGAUUUUUACUGUGAGCGGGGUGAAUUCACCGGGACUGACACGCCUUCUUCUCCUGUGUGUAACAACGCAGGGGGCUGGCCUGCGAGAUCUCGGCAACACAUGCCGCCUCAACUCGGUUCUGCAAUGCCUGACCUACGCCGAGCCGGUCUUGGCCUACCUGCCAGAGCGAGAAACACAAGGCCUCAUAUACAGUCAGGUUGCUACUGUUGCUUUGUUUGGACUUCUAGUGGGAUUUGGCAUGAUAACCAGUUCAAAUGAAUUACCAAAGAAGUACUAGGAUAUUAUGUCUUGUGACAGUCUGACCAAGCUACUACAGAGAGCAAAUGAUUACUAUUACGACUUCUGAAUAAUGGGUUCUCUAAGUUUGUGAGGCAGAUGCGUUGCUUGACGUCAAUGAAGCUAAAGAGCCAGCAUGCUCUAAAGAAGAUUUGACUUGCAGUUAAGGAAGCUGAAGAGUCAUCAUGCCCAAGAAACGUCAGCUUGUAACAGCAGCAGAACUAAUUGGGGAUUAAGACGGCUUGUAAAUUGAACUAGACUGAUCCAAGAAUCAGUAACUGUCGGAUCAGACGCCAAACCAGAAAGCGACUGCAAGAUCUGUUUCCUGUAAAGAAUCGUCUUAUUUUCCUAUGCCUAUUUUUUCCAAGAAUCCUCUAUCAGCGUACUGACCUAUCUGUUGUAGCAAGAAUUAACUAGUUUUCUCCAAGAAUCUUUUCUGCGGCAGAUUCUGUACCUGUACCUGCAAGAGCUCAAUUUUGUAUCUAUACAUCUAUUACCGCC
Long non-coding RNA from Lolium rigidum, 861 nucleotides. RefSeq lists it as uncharacterized. NCBI's taxonomy places the organism in Eukaryota, Viridiplantae, Streptophyta, Magnoliopsida, Poales, Poaceae. The transcript is spliced from 3 exons. The record is from RefSeq and is a predicted model, not a curated record.